RNAcentral lists this unclassified non-coding RNA (1717 nucleotides) under Hevea brasiliensis (rubber tree). The record is from RNAcentral. Lineage: Eukaryota; Viridiplantae; Streptophyta; Magnoliopsida; Malpighiales; Euphorbiaceae.
GAAGAAGAAGAAGAAGAAAGAGAUGAGAUAGUUAAUGGCAAAAAAUAAUCCCUCAAGCCCAGAGGAGAAGACAAGAGAGAGAAAAGGUCGACAAUUCAGAUCCGUUUCACAAGGCUGCUUCGGAGAAUAUAUAUAUAAAAUAUAAAUUUUAUGUGGUGAGUUCAUAACAAUUUCGAUUGCCUGAUUAAACCAUUUUGUUGUUGCGUUCGUUAUCCGCUAUAAAAUUUUCCCAGGAACCAUGAAAGUUCCGGUCGUAGCCCCUUCUCCAUAUAAGGCCUUUUCUUCUCUCCGCGAUCCUUUCUUCUUUACACUCGCUUCUUCAUCAAUUUACUCCUUUUCUAAGCAUCUCCAUUGUAAUCCCAUGGCUGCUUGUGUUGACACUCCUAGAGUGAAGCCCUCUCAAAUUUCUCGCGAUCCAAGCAGGUCUGAAGGUGAUGAUCAUGCUUACAAUUAUGUGACAUAUUGUCGACCCAGUUUCUCCGAUCAUGUUUCUGGCUUACCCUUUAGCAAGAAUCAUAUGAAAACCAUACACACGGAUUCAGUUGCGGAAGAUCUGCCUCACGAAAACCAAAAUAAAGAAGAUCCAUGGCUCAAAAUGCAGGAUGAAGCCAGGUUAGAUGCUGAUCAAGAACCAGUUCUAUCCAGCUACUACUAUACCUCCAUUCUGUCUCAGAAGACUCUAGAAAGGGCGUUGGCGAAUCAUCUUGCAAUUAAGUUAAGCAAUUCCAGCCUUCCUAGUAGUACUCUGUUUGAUAUUUUUUUGGGGGUUCUUGAAGAGAGUCAAGACAUCAUUACUGCGGUGAAGAAAGAUUUGAGAGCUGUGAAGGAAAGAGACCCUGCCUGCAUAAGCUACAUGCACUGUUUCUUGAAUUUCAAAGGGUUUCUGGCAUGCCAAGCCCAUAGAAUAGCGCACAAAUUAUGGGCACAGGGUAGAAAUGUUUUAGCUAUAUUGAUCCAAAACAGAGUAUCUGAGGCGUUUGCGGUUGAUAUUCAUCCAGGAGCAAGGAUCGGACAGGGAAUAUUAUUUGAUCAUGCCACAGGAUUAGUUGUUGGAGAGACUGCUGUGAUUGGGAACAAUGUGUCAAUCCUGCAUAAUGUGACUUUAGGUGGUACUGGGAAGGCUUGUGGAGACAGGCAUCCAAAGAUUGGUGAUGGGGUUUUGAUUGGGGCUGGGACUUGUAUUUUGGGUAACAUUAGGAUUGGUGAAGGGGCCAAGAUUGGGGCUUGUUCAGUGGUGUUGAAGGACGUGCCACCCAGGACUACUGCUGUUGGCAACCCGGCUAAAUUGGUUGGAGGAAAGGAGAACCCGAUUAAGCUUGACAAAAUUCCAAGCUUUACCAUGGACCACACUUCACACAUAGCUGAGUGGUCUGAUUAUGUUGUAUAAAGGUCUUUUUCUUAGUUGAGUAAGCUGUGUUCUGAUCCUGCCUAGUGAUCUGAUUGUGUUGUAUAACGGUCUUUUUCUUAGUUGAGUAAGCUGUGUUCUGAUCCUGCCUAGUGAUCUGAUUGUGUUGUAUAACGGUCUUUUUCUUAGUUGAGUAAGCUGUGUUCUGAUCCUACCCAGUGAUAUCUUAUGUAUGGCCUUGAGCAAAUAUUACCAGACCAAAUGUGCUGUAAGUAUGAACCAAAUCAAAUUAUGUUGUUAAUUUUCUUCCCAUUCUGUUGGAUUUGGUUUACUCUUUGCCAUUUUAUAUGGUCAUGAAGUAUUGUAUAAUGU